AUAGCGAGUGCAGAGGUUGGAGAAUACUAUUAUUCGAGAAGAGGAUGCUUGCCACCAUGAAGAUCUGAUACCAGAUUUCAUUGUGGAGAUAAAUCGAGAUCCACGACUAGCUAGUAGUGUCGAUCCUGAAUGUGACAAUCACAUUGUGAUGUAAAAAUCACGAUCUGAUGAACAUCCACAUGAUCUCGGUAUUCAUCUCUAUCUUUCCAAUUUUUAUGAGGAACUUGAAAAAGAAAAAGAAAUCACGAUGGAGCCCGAGAUCUCAGUGUUCUACUUUGAGAUGAGCACCAAGUAUUUGAUUAAUCGGUGUAUUGAAGAAAAAGUACCGAGGCACAUGGUGGACUACAUCACCAAUUAUUUGAUUAGCCUUUGCAAGGUCUAAGCUCAAG
Molecule: long non-coding RNA, 389 nt
Filed under: Amborella trichopoda
Lineage: Eukaryota; Viridiplantae; Streptophyta; Magnoliopsida; Amborellales; Amborellaceae
Description: long non-coding RNA (ATRI_LNC003330)
Source: RNAcentral